RNAcentral lists this ribosomal RNA (507 nucleotides) under Triticum aestivum (bread wheat). RNAcentral's name for it is "partial small subunit ribosomal RNA". The record is from RNAcentral. Lineage: Eukaryota; Viridiplantae; Streptophyta; Magnoliopsida; Poales; Poaceae.
AUGAACACGGAGGGGAUGUGGCGCUGCGUGGAGGAGAAGGAGGUCGUGGCGGCCGCGCGCGACCAGCUCGCCGCCCAGCCAGGCUCGAGAAGGAGUGCGGCCUCUACGAGCGCAACCUCAAGCGCGCCAUGGAGUCAUGCGACGAGCUCUCCUGGGAGAGCGACGACCUAUGCAAGCGCCUCAGGGACGCCCCCGACGUCACUUACUGAACAAGUGCAAGCGCCGCAGAGGGACAAGAAGAUACUCAAGACCAACCUAAAAAAAGCAGAGGAGGUUAAGUUAUUCGAGGAGAAAAGAGCUGUUGACGAAGCCAACAAGACGCUAUUGUGCUUACUGGAGAAGGAGCAGAAACAUCGGUCCGAAAGGAAGCACUCCGCCAGCAAUUCCACCAAGCAGAAGCGCAAGUCGUCGAGCCUGAAGGACACGAGCCCGAUCGGCCUAGCCAUCGAUUUCAACAACACAGAAGCAUGCAGCCAAACUCCCCAGACUGUAGGGUGCACAAGAAGU